AGCCUUGUGGUGAUUCACACUAGAAUGCAAAUCUAGAGACGCACACCAGGGUGUGCCGAGGCUU
Molecule: transfer RNA, 64 nt
Filed under: Tropidophorus hainanus
Lineage: Eukaryota; Metazoa; Chordata; Lepidosauria; Squamata; Scincidae
Description: tRNA-Cys
Source: RNAcentral